RNAcentral lists this unclassified non-coding RNA (343 nucleotides) under uncultured Diversispora. Its description in RNAcentral is "sequence contains ITS1". The stretch from base 1 to 105 matches the Rfam family "5.8S ribosomal RNA", at positions 50 to 154 of the family's 154-position model. The record is from RNAcentral. Lineage: Eukaryota; Fungi; Glomeromycota; Glomeromycetes; Diversisporales; Diversisporaceae.
GAAAUGCGAUACGUAGUGUGAAUUGCAGAAUUCCGUGAAUCAUCGAAUCUUUGAACACAAAUUGUACUUUCCAGUAUUCUGGGAAGUAUGCUUGGUUGAGGGUCAUUAAAGUAACAUUCGUGAGUUUUUUUACGGAUUUGAGUUUUCCAGUAUUUAUAAAAAUGUUGGUAACUUUAAAAUUAUUAUCACUUGGUACAAGUUGAAGACGUUCUAUAUGUGUGUGUGGUUCGCUGACAACUUGUCCAUCUCAUAUAUUAUGCGCGCACUUGGUUUUUUAAUGCCAUGUGUGAGUAUAUAUUUUUUUUAUGACCUCAGCUCAAGUAAGAAUACCCGCUGAACUUAA